RNAcentral lists this ribosomal RNA (301 nucleotides) under uncultured bacterium. RNAcentral's name for it is "partial 16S ribosomal RNA". It matches the Rfam family "Bacterial small subunit ribosomal RNA", at positions 509 to 807 of the family's 1533-position model. The record is from RNAcentral.
CAGUCGCCACGGUAAUACGGAGGGCGCGAGCGUUACCCGGAUUUACUGGGCGUAAAGGGCGUGUAGGCGGCCUGGGGCGUCCCAUGUGAAAGGCCACGGCUCAACCGUGGAGGAGCGUGGGAUACGCUCAGGCUAGAGGGUGGGAGAGGGUGGUGGAAUUCCCGGAGUAGCGGUGAAAUGCGCAGAUACCGGGAGGAACGCCGAUGGCGAAGGCAGCCACCUGGUCCACUUCUGACGCUGAGGCGCGAAAGCGUGGGGAGCAGACCGGAUUAGAUACCCGCGUAGUCCCUGUCUCUUAUAC